UACGUAGGGUGCAAGCGUCAAUCGGAAUUACUGGGCGUAAAGCGUGCGCAGGCGGUUUUGUAAGACAGGCGUGAAAUCCCCGGGCUUAACCUGGGAAUGGCGCUUGUGACUGCAAAGCUGGAGUGCGGCAGAGGGGGAUGGAAUUCCGCGUGUAGCAGUGAAAUGCGUAGAUAUGCGGAGGAACACCAAUGGCGAAGGCAAUCCCCUGGGCCUGUACUGACGCUCAUGCACGAAAGCGUGGGGAGCAAACAGG
This 253-nucleotide ribosomal RNA is filed under the name uncultured bacterium. RNAcentral describes it as "partial 16S ribosomal RNA". It matches the Rfam family "Bacterial small subunit ribosomal RNA", at positions 524 to 776 of the family's 1533-position model. The record is from RNAcentral.